This 467-nucleotide ribosomal RNA is filed under the name uncultured bacterium. RNAcentral's name for it is "partial 16S ribosomal RNA". It matches the Rfam family "Bacterial small subunit ribosomal RNA", at positions 28 to 507 of the family's 1533-position model. The record is from RNAcentral.
GAUGAACGCUGGCGGCGUGCUUAACACAUGCAAGUCGAACGGAAAGGCCCAAGCUUGCUUGGGUACUCGAGUGGCGAACGGGUGAGUAACACGUGGGUGAUCUGCCCUGCACUUCGGGAUAAGCCUGGGAAACUGGGUCUAAUACCGGAUAGGACCACUUCUUGGAUGUUGUGGUGGAAAGUUUUUUCGGUGUGGGAUGAGCUCGCGUCCUAUCAGCUUGUUGGUGGGGUAAUGGCCUACCAAGGCGUCGACGGGUAGCCGGCCUGAGAGGGUGUACGGCCACAUUGGGACUGAGAUACGGCCCAGACUCCUACGGGAGGCAGCAGUGGGGAAUAUUGCACAAUGGGCGAAAGCCUAAUGCAGCGACGCCGCGUGGGGGAUGACGGCCUUCGGGUUGUAAACUCCUUUCGCUAGGGACGAAGCGUUUUGUGACGGUACCUGGAGAAGAAGCACCGGCUAACUACGUG